UGCUUGCACCAAAGCUAUGUAUGUACACAACUUUAUAGUUGGCCAAUUUUUUGGGCACACCAUACUCUUUGUACACCAAAUUUCUUCCAUCUUUAAGUUUGAUUCUUGAAGUGAGGGGUAGACCACUUGAAAAUCUACAAAUUUUGGAUGGAGGGGGAUGGAUAGUUUGGAAAACAAAGGCUAAAAGUACUAGAAAUGUGGACACAACAACUUGCUUGAUCAUUGUUGAAGACAAGAAGAAAAAAACUAAAGUUUUGAAAAUGAUUGUAG
This 270-nucleotide long non-coding RNA is filed under the name Capsicum annuum. Its description in RNAcentral is "long non-coding RNA (CANN_LNC009020)". Lineage: Eukaryota; Viridiplantae; Streptophyta; Magnoliopsida; Solanales; Solanaceae. The record is from RNAcentral.